GUCUCAAAGAUUAAGCCAUGCAUGUGUAAGUAUAAGUAUUGUACAGCGAAACUGCGAAUGGCUCAUUACAUCAGUUAUAGUUUAUUUGAUAUUUGAAAGUUACAUGGAUAACCGUGGCAAUUCUACAGCUAAUACAUGCAAUAUAGUCUGACUUUUUGGAAGGACUAGCACUUAUUAGAUAUUAAACCAAUCUUCGCAAGAAGUUUUAUGGUGAUUCAUAGUAACUGAACAAAUCACAUGGUCUCGCACUGGUGAUGUUUCAUUCAAAUUUCUGCCCUAUCAACUUGAUGGUAGUAUAUAGGACUACCAUGGUUAUAACGGGUAACGGAGGAUUAGGGUUUGAUUCCGGAGAAGGAGCAUGAGAAACGGCUACUAUUUCUAAGGAAAGCAGCAGGCGCGCAAAUUAUUCAAUGGAAACAAAUUUCCGAAAUAGUGACAAAAAAUAAUCAAUGCUGGACACAAU
Molecule: ribosomal RNA, 463 nt
Filed under: uncultured eukaryote
Lineage: Eukaryota
Description: bacterial SSU rRNA
Rfam family: Eukaryotic small subunit ribosomal RNA
Source: RNAcentral